GAUGAACGCUAGCGGCAGGCUUAACACAUGCAAGUCGAGGGGCAGCACGAGGUGUAGCAAUACAUUUUGGUGGCGACCGGCGUACGGGUGCGUAACGCGUAUGCAACCUACCUUAUACAGGGGGAUAACCUUUCGAAAGGGAGACUAACACCGCAUAAUAUUACAGAUAGGCAUCUAUUAGUGAUUAAAUAUUGAUUUAGGUAUAAGAUGGGCAUGCGUAUGAUUAGUUAGAUGGUGAGGUAAUGGCUCACCAUGGCGAUGAUCAUUAGGGGUCUUGAGAGGGAUGUCCCCCACACUGGUACUGAGACACGGACCAGACUCCUACGGGAGGCAGCAGUGAGGAAUAUUGGUCAAUGGGCGGGAGCCUGAACCAGCCAUGCCGCGUGCAGGAAGACGGUCUUAUGGAUUGUAAACUGCUUUUAUAUGGGAUUAAAUGUGCAUUUGCGAAUGUAUUUGAAAGUACCGUAUGAAUAAGGAUCGGCUAACUCCGUGCCAGCAGCCGCGGUAAUACGGAGGAUUCGAGCGUUAUCCGGAUUUAUUGGGUUUAAAGGGUGCGUAGGCUGUUAAUUAAGUCUGGGGUUAAAUGCUACGGCUCAACUGUGGUUUGCCUUAGAUACUGGUUAGCUGGAAUACAAAUGGAGCAGGCGGAAUGAAUCAUGUAGCGGUGACAUGCAUAGAUAUGAUUUAGAACACCGAUCGCG
This 701-nucleotide ribosomal RNA is filed under the name uncultured bacterium. RNAcentral describes it as "bacterial SSU rRNA". It matches the Rfam family "Bacterial small subunit ribosomal RNA", at positions 28 to 717 of the family's 1533-position model. The record is from RNAcentral.